Molecule: ribosomal RNA, 363 nt
Filed under: uncultured bacterium
Lineage: Bacteria
Description: bacterial SSU rRNA
Rfam family: Bacterial small subunit ribosomal RNA
Source: RNAcentral
AGCGAACGCUGGCGGCAGGCUUAACACAUGCAAGUCGAACGGAUCCUUCGGGAUUAGUGGCGGACGGGUGAGUAACACGUGGGAACGUGCCUUUUGGUUCGGAACAACACAGGGAAACUUGUGCUAAUACCGGAUGUGCCCUUCGGGGGAAAGAUUUAUCGCCAUUAGAGCGGCCCGCGUCUGAUUAGCUAGUUGGUGAGGUAAAGGCUCACCAAGGCUACGAUCAGUAGCUGGUCNGAGAGGAUGAUCAGCCACACUGGGACUGAGACACGGCCCAGACUCCUACGGGAGGCAGCAGUGGGGAAUCUUGCGCAAUGGGGGAAACCCUGACGCAGCCAUGCCGCGUGAAUGAUGAAGGUCUUA